UACGGAGGGGGCUAGCGUUGUUCGGAAUUACUGGGCGUAAAGAGCAUGUAGGCGGUUUAGUAAGUUAGAAGUGAAAGCCCAAAGCUCAACUUUGGAAUUGCUUUUAAAACUGCUAAUCUAGAGUACAGUAGAGGGUAAUGGAAUUCCUAGUGGUAGAGGUAAAAUUCUCAGAUAUUAGGAGGAACACCAAAGGCGAAAGCAGUUACCUGGACUUGUACUGACGCUGAGAUGCGAAAGCAUGGGGAGCAAACAGG
RNAcentral lists this ribosomal RNA (254 nucleotides) under uncultured bacterium. RNAcentral describes it as "partial 16S ribosomal RNA". It matches the Rfam family "Bacterial small subunit ribosomal RNA", at positions 524 to 776 of the family's 1533-position model. The record is from RNAcentral.